UAGGGAAUAUUGCGCAAUGGGGGAAACCCUGACGCAGCAACUCCACGUGUGGGAAGAAGCAUUUCGGUGUGUAAACCACUGUCGAUAGGGAAUAAACGCCGUCUUCGGACGGCCUGAAUGUACCUACAAAGGAAGCACCGGCAAACUUCGUGCCAGCAGCCGCGGUAAUACGAGGGGUGCAAGCGUUGUUCGGAAUCACUGGGCGUAAAGGGAGCGUAGGCGGAGCUCCAAGUCGGCCGUUCAAUGCCGGGGCCCAACCCCGGACCUGCGACCGAUACUGGAGCUCUUGAGUCAUUCAGAGGCAAGCGGAAUUCCUGGUGUAGCGGUGGAAUGCGUAGAGAUCAGGAAGAACACCAAUGGCGAAGGCAGCUUGCUGGGGAUUGACUGACGCUGAGGCUCGAAAGUGUGGGUAGCAAACAGG
RNAcentral lists this ribosomal RNA (421 nucleotides) under uncultured bacterium. Its description in RNAcentral is "bacterial SSU rRNA". It matches the Rfam family "Bacterial small subunit ribosomal RNA", at positions 355 to 776 of the family's 1533-position model. The record is from RNAcentral.